Molecule: long non-coding RNA, 893 nt
Organism: Hordeum vulgare subsp. vulgare (domesticated barley)
Lineage: Eukaryota; Viridiplantae; Streptophyta; Magnoliopsida; Poales; Poaceae
Exons: 3
Source: RefSeq, a predicted model, not a curated record
UUCAUGAUGUCAUCCCCUACCUCCAGCACAUUCGUCAUGGACACCCAAUCCCGAUCCCAAAUUCUAAUCGAUUCAGCUCGAUCUUGCUCCUAGCACACUCGUUCCUACCUAUUAAUAAUCUGCACCCUCUCCUCUUUCAAUUUUUCGCAAACUUGAGACCUCCCAUGCCCGUCUUGCCUCGUCUUCAUCUCGCUGCAGUCCGCCACCCUGAAGCUCGUGUCGCCAUUGCUUCCAGCGCCACCCAAGGUUCCUAGCCCUUCUUUUUGUCUGGUCUGAACUUUUAGCUCUUGCAGAUAGUCACUAAACCGAGCGACACGACCCCGCCCUAUCGAACACGAUUGCCAACACAACUCCAGCCGCAUCGAUGUGACACCAGGGGGUCGCCCCGUCGCUUAUGAGGACAUCAAACUCACCGUUGCUGAAUGUAGAGUCCGACACGCACCUCCCUGAGGCCAUCUGACCUCCGUAUUCGUCGCCCGCAUCUCCACCGAGCCGCUAAUGUCAUUCUUCUUCAAGUCCAGCAGCCGCCCAGCCUCUGUUUCCGGGUGGUGAAUGCUCUUCUAUGGAUUAAUUGGUGGUGGUGUGUCAAGCUUGAUCAGUUAGUGGAGGUUUGCUAUGUCAAUACGUGUGAUGUACCGAUACAUUCAAUCUAUUGACCCUUAUGUGGAUGCAACUUAUCAUGUUGGAGGAUAUACAUAUGAUUCAUGAGAUACAAUAGGAUCGUGAGUCUUCAAUCAGAAUCUCACCAAGGGGCAUUGAUGGGAUUCAUCGUUGGUUUAUGCUACAUUUAUGAUGUUAUUAUUGAAUAAAUAUAUUUAUAUGCUACGAGAUUGUAAUAUAUUAUAAACUCUGGAUCAUAGAUUUUAGUAAAUGAUGCACUUGUUACUUUGAUA